GCUAUCGGCAAAUCUAUCAUGAUUCAUUGGCAUUCGGCAUAUUCGAAUUCAACAACUCUAUUUUGCGUUUAAUUUUUUAGAAAAGUUCAUUGAACUUGUUGGUGUUCUUGAUGGUUCAAGUGACGAUGUCCGAUCAAAACCCUAACCCUAAAUCAAUUGAUCUAUCUCUUGGGUCUUGCAUUCUCCGAAAGAGUCUCUGCUAAGAAUCUCCCUUGCG
RNAcentral lists this unclassified non-coding RNA (217 nucleotides) under Hevea brasiliensis (rubber tree). The record is from RNAcentral. Lineage: Eukaryota; Viridiplantae; Streptophyta; Magnoliopsida; Malpighiales; Euphorbiaceae.